AUCACGUCGUCACCGUCGUUGCCUGCCAUUGCCGCCUGCGCAGUUGUUCGAGGUAUCUUCUCUGUCGUCUUCUCCCUCUUAACCGAGACGCUCUUCCUGCAGUGUGCGCUCGAUCCCGCGCAACUCUCUCUCCACCAUCGCCGCCCGCGCCGUCAUCAUGGCUCCCUUCUGGACUAACGUGUUGAACUACACGUACGCCCGCGGCUUCAUCCGCAUUCCCAUUGUGCUGGCGCUGCCUAUCUUCUUCAACAAGUAUGUUCUGUACGCGUACGAGGACGCAUUCAAGCGCUGGAACGCCGGCCACAAUCAGGUGGACAUCUGGAACCGCCUCCAGGAAAAGGUGGCUGCGGAUGCUGAGUAAGAGGCAACAGAGCUCACGCCGCGCGGCCUUUGUGCCUCCCCUCUCUCUGUCUCUCUCCAUAUCCCGCAUGGCCGGUGCGGUGGACGGUGAGCAGCACUAGCGAACGGCGAGAGAGUGGGAAGCGUCUUCUCUGUUCGCGCGUCAAACGGCUGCCGCCCACGUGAUGUGCAAAGGGCGGACAUCUUCGUUCACCGGCCGUCAGGGCGGGGGCGGCAAAAGGCGCAGUUCUUUAGGCCGCGGCUGCUGCACCUCUUUCUCCCCUUUCUCUCCUCCUGCCUCUCUCGUGUGAUAAGUCGUGUGUGUGCGCGUGCGCGCGAUAUGCGGCGUAUGGCGGUCUCGGUGCUGUGCGAAGCGCUUAGCCAUUAGGAAUCUCACUUCUCUUGCCUUUCCCUUCGUAGCGGAUUCGAAUUCGAU
RNAcentral lists this unclassified non-coding RNA (775 nucleotides) under Leishmania donovani. RNAcentral's name for it is "gene:LdHU3.17.1900(CDS-product:hypothetical_prote in_conserved)". Lineage: Eukaryota; Euglenozoa; Kinetoplastea; Trypanosomatida; Trypanosomatidae. The record is from RNAcentral.